AUGAUAACAACCUCGGAUUGCCCGAUAUGUGCCACGGACUGUGAGAGUAUUCGUCAUUCUUUCUUCAGAUGUAACAGAGUGCAAGAGAUUUGGGCAAAGCUGGGCUUGCUCUCCACCAUAAAUGAGCUGUCCGAGACUGAGUUGGAGGGAUCUUCGGUCCUCGGUGACCUGUUGCUAAUGCCAAACGCCGUUGUCCCGUCGCUCCCGGGCGUGCCCAUAAAGGAGCUGGUGGCGGUGGCUGUUUGGUAUAUAUGGUGGGAACGGCAGAGAUUCACCCAUGGGGAGCCCAUUCAGGAACCUGGAAGAUCGGCCCAAGCCAUUGUUACAUUGACCAAAAACUUCAUGAGGGCAAGGAACCAUGGUGCGGGCAGGAUACAGAGACAUGGAUGGACAAGACCAACAGAGGGAUUUGUUAGCCUCAAUAUCGACGCCUCUUUUGAUGUUGAUAGUGGCACCGGCGGGACCGGGGCCAUCAUACGUGACUCCACUGGUUCCUUCAUUGCGGCAUCCACGAGCAACAUUCCUUUUGUCCAGGACGCAGCGACGGCCGAGGCUAGAGGCCUUAAGGACGGGCUGGCUCUGGCAAACAUCGUCGGCUGUAACAAGGUGGAGAUCAGGGCGGACUGCAUGGAGGUCAUCCAGAUAAUGCAAGAUGGCGGAAACUCCUUAGGACCAGCUGCAGCCAUCUAUGAGGAGUGUGCUUUCUUAUGUCGUAAUUUUAUCUGUGUUAGUUUCUUUCAUUGCCCUAGGGAAGCCAAUAUGGCGGCUGAUCUAUUGGCUACAAAGUCGGAGCCCUCGCGAACUAUUGUGUGGCAGAACGAGGCUCCGGACUUUCUGCUCGAUGUAAUCACAAACGAUGUAGCCCUAUUUUCACAUGAAAUAUAA
Molecule: ribosomal RNA, 885 nt
Filed under: Triticum aestivum (bread wheat)
Lineage: Eukaryota; Viridiplantae; Streptophyta; Magnoliopsida; Poales; Poaceae
Description: partial small subunit ribosomal RNA
Source: RNAcentral